AAGGCUUUAGUUAAAUACAAUAAUAACAGCUUGUCAGGCUGUAGUAAUCUUUCAUGAUAAGCCUUG
RNAcentral lists this transfer RNA (66 nucleotides) under Whitmania acranulata. Its description in RNAcentral is "tRNA-Asp". The record is from RNAcentral. Lineage: Eukaryota; Metazoa; Annelida; Clitellata; Hirudinida; Haemopidae.